AUUGAACGCUGGCGGCAGGCCUAACACAUGCAAGUCGAGCGGAUGAAGGGAGCUUGCUCCUGGAUUCAGCGGCGGACGGGUGAGUAAUGCCUAGGAAUCUGCCUGGUAGUGGGGGAUAACGUCCGGAAACGGGCGCUAAUACCGCAUACGUCCUGAGGGAGAAAGUGGGGGAUCUUCGGACCUCACGCUAUCAGAUGAGCCUAGGUCGGAUUAGCUAGUUGGUGGGUAAAGGCCUACCAAGGCGACGAUCCGUAACUGGUCUGAGAGGAUGAUCAGUCACACGGGAACUGAGACACGGUCCAGACUCCUACGGGAGGCAGCAGUGGGGAAUAUUGGACAAUGGGCGAAAGCCUGAUCCAGCCAUGCCGCGUGUGUGAAGAAGGUCUUCGGAUUGUAAAGCACUUUAAGUUGGGAGGAAGGGCAGUAAGUUAAUACCUUGCUGUUUUGACGUUACCAACAGAAUAAGCACCGGCUAACUUCGUG
Molecule: ribosomal RNA, 483 nt
Filed under: uncultured bacterium
Lineage: Bacteria
Description: partial 16S ribosomal RNA
Rfam family: Bacterial small subunit ribosomal RNA
Source: RNAcentral